RNAcentral lists this unclassified non-coding RNA (347 nucleotides) under Tragopogon porrifolius subsp. australis. RNAcentral describes it as "partial external transcribed spacer". Lineage: Eukaryota; Viridiplantae; Streptophyta; Magnoliopsida; Asterales; Asteraceae. The record is from RNAcentral.
UUGCUUUUUGGUGCUUGCUUGGCCUCUUGGCUGAGUGGGUGGCUUUUAGCCGAGCCGUCUUCGGGGAUGAUUUCCGUAAAGGUGCAUGAGUGGUGUUUGGUUUGUUGCGGAUGGUUGGAUGUCUGCUUGCGCAGCAACUUCCAUGCGGGCUUACCUCUUCAAUUGUGCUACAAGCCUUGUUUGGCUUGCAGCAUUUAGUGGGUUUCUUGUGUUGAUUACCUAAUCGAUGGCAUUGUUCGUCCCCACUAGUGUGAUUUUGUAACACGUUGCUUGCGGCGUGAUACAAACAAUGAAGCAACCUUUGUUGUUCAACCUGUUGCUGCUCAUGCAUCGAUGGCUUGACCCAU